GCACUGGUGAGGAGUCCCACAAUAGGACAAAACGACCGUCCAGUGC
This 46-nucleotide non-coding RNA is filed under the name Schistosoma mansoni. Lineage: Eukaryota; Metazoa; Platyhelminthes; Trematoda; Strigeidida; Schistosomatidae. The record is from RNAcentral.